Molecule: ribosomal RNA, 528 nt
Filed under: uncultured bacterium
Lineage: Bacteria
Description: bacterial SSU rRNA
Rfam family: Bacterial small subunit ribosomal RNA
Source: RNAcentral
GAGUUUGAUCAUGGCUCAGAUUGAACGCUGGUGGCAGGCUUAACACAUGCAAGUCGAGCGGGCGAGGUUGCUUCGGUAACUGAGCUAGCGGCGGACGGGUGAGUAAUGCUUAGGAAUCUGCCUAUUAGUGGGGGACAACAUUCCGAAAGGAAUGCUAAUACCGCAUACGCCCUACGGGGGAAAGCAGGGGAUCUUCGGACCUUGCGCUAAUAGAUGAGCCUAAGUCAGAUUAGCUAGUUGGUGGGGUAAAGGCCUACCAAGGCGACGAUCUGUAGCGGGUCUGAGAGGAUGAUCCGCCACACUGGGACUGAGACACGGCCCAGACUCCUACGGGAGGCAGCAGUGGGGAAUAUUGGACAAUGGGCGCAAGCCUGAUCCAGCCAUGCCGCGUGUGUGAAGAAGGCCUUUUGGUUGUAAAGCACUUUAAGCGAGGAGGAGGCUACUUGGAUUAAUACUCUAGGAUAGUGGACGUUACUCGCAGAAUAAGCACCGGCUAACUCUGUGCCAGCAGCCGCGGUAAUACAGAGG